AACGAACGCUGGCGGCAUGCCUAACACAUGCAAGUCGAACGAGAUCUUCGGGUCUAGUGGCGCACGGGUGCGUAACGCGUGGGAAUCUGCCCUUUGGUUCGGAAUAACAGUUGGAAACGACUGCUAAUACCGGAUGAUGACGAAAGUCCAAAGAUUUAUCGCCAGAGGAUGAGCCCGCGUAGGAUUAGCUAGUUGGUGUGGUAAAGGCGCGCCAAGGCGACGAUCCUUAGCUGGUCUGAGAGGAUGAUCAGCCACACUGGGACUGAGACACGGCCCAGACUCCUACGGGAGGCAGCAGUGGGGAAUAUUGGACAAUGGGCGAAAGCCUGAUCCAGCAAUGCCGCGUGAGUGAUGAAGGCCUUAGGGUUGUAAAGCUCUUUUACCCGGGAUGAUAAUGACAGUACCGGGAGAAUAAGCUCCGACUAACUCCGUGCCAGCCGCCGCAGUAA
RNAcentral lists this ribosomal RNA (449 nucleotides) under uncultured bacterium. Its description in RNAcentral is "partial 16S ribosomal RNA". It matches the Rfam family "Bacterial small subunit ribosomal RNA", at positions 29 to 523 of the family's 1533-position model. The record is from RNAcentral.